Molecule: microRNA precursor, 70 nt
Organism: Astyanax mexicanus (Mexican tetra)
Lineage: Eukaryota; Metazoa; Chordata; Actinopteri; Characiformes; Acestrorhamphidae
Rfam family: miR-430 microRNA precursor family
Source: Rfam
AUUGCUACUUUAACAAUAGUGCUGACCUUUUAGUAAAAGUUGGUAAGUGCUAUUUGUUGGGGUAGUUUUA